RNAcentral lists this ribosomal RNA (468 nucleotides) under uncultured bacterium. RNAcentral's name for it is "bacterial SSU rRNA". It matches the Rfam family "Bacterial small subunit ribosomal RNA", at positions 335 to 795 of the family's 1533-position model. The record is from RNAcentral.
ACUCCUACGGGAGGCAGCAGUGAGGAAUUUUGGACAAUGGGGGCAACCCUGAUCCAGCCAUGCCGCGUGCGGGAAGAAGGCCUUCGGGUUGUAAACCGCUUUUAGCCGGGAAGAAAAGGCGAGGGAUAACACCCUUCGUUCUUGACGGUACCGGCGGAAUAAGCACCGGCUAACUACGUGCCAGCAGCCGCGGUAAUACGUAGGGUGCGAGCGUUAAUCGGAAUUACUGGGCGUAAAGCGUGCGCAGGCGGUUCGUUAAGUCUGAUGUGAAAGCCCCGGGCUCAACCUGGGAAUGGCAUUGGAUACUGGCGGGCUUGAGUGUGGCAGAGGGGGGUGGAAUUCCGCGUGUAGCAGUGAAAUGCGUAGAGAUGCGGAGGAACACCGAUGGCGAAGGCAGCCCCCUGGGCUGACACUGACGCUCAGGCACGAAAGCGUGGGGAGCAAACAGGAUUAGAUACCCUGGUAGUC